This 336-nucleotide ribosomal RNA is filed under the name Escherichia coli. RNAcentral describes it as "bacterial SSU rRNA". It matches the Rfam family "Bacterial small subunit ribosomal RNA", at positions 1 to 333 of the family's 1533-position model. The record is from RNAcentral. Lineage: Bacteria; Pseudomonadati; Pseudomonadota; Gammaproteobacteria; Enterobacterales; Enterobacteriaceae.
AAAUUGAAGAGUUUGAUCAUGGCUCAGAUUGAACGCUGGCGGCAGGCCUAACACAUGCAAGUCGAACGGUAACAGGAAGCAGCUUGCUGCUUCGCUGACGAGUGGCGGACGGGUGAGUAAUGUCUGGGAAACUGCCUGAUGGAGGGGGAUAACUACUGGAAACGGUAGCUAAUACCGCAUAACGUCGCAAGACCAAAGAGGGGGACCUUCGGGCCUCUUGCCAUCGGAUGUGCCCAGAUGGGAUUAGCUUGUUGGUGGGGUAACGGCUCACCAAGGCGACGAUCCCUAGCUGGUCUGAGAGGAUGACCAGCCACACUGGAACUGAGACACGGUCCA